Molecule: ribosomal RNA, 253 nt
Filed under: uncultured bacterium
Lineage: Bacteria
Description: partial 16S ribosomal RNA
Rfam family: Bacterial small subunit ribosomal RNA
Source: RNAcentral
UACGUAGGGGGCAAGCGUUGUCCGGAAUCAUUGGGCGUAAAGCGCGUGUAGGCGGCCAGUUAAGUCCGCUGUGAAAUCUCGAGGCUCAACUUCGAGCUGUCGGUGGAAACUGUCUGGCUAGAGUCCGGAAGAGGAGAAUGGAAUUCCUGGUGUAGCGGUGAAAUGCGCAGAUAUCAGGAGGAACACCUAUUGCGAAGGCAGCUCGCUGGGACGUUACUGACGCUGAGACGCGAAAGCGUGGGGAGCAAACAGG